UACAGAGGUAGCGAACGUUGUCCGGAUUUACUGGGCGUAAAGGGCUUGUAGGUGGCCAAAUAAGUCAGUUGUGAAAUCGUUCUGCUUAACAGAACAAUUGCUUCUGAUACUGCUUGGCUUGAGUGCAGGAAGGGAAAAUGGAAUUUCCGGUGUAGCGGUGAAAUGCGUAGAUAUCGGAAAGAACACCUGUGGCGAAGGCGGUUUUCUGGCCUGCAACUGACACUGAGGAGCGAAAGCUAGGGGAGCAAACAGGAUUAGAUACCCUGGUAGUCCUAGCUGUAAACGGUGUACAUUAGGUGUGGGAGAUUCAUUUCUUCCGUGCCGACGCUAACGCAUUAAAUGUACCGCCUGGGAACUACGGCCGCAAGGUUGAA
Molecule: ribosomal RNA, 374 nt
Filed under: uncultured bacterium
Lineage: Bacteria
Description: bacterial SSU rRNA
Rfam family: Bacterial small subunit ribosomal RNA
Source: RNAcentral